GAUAGCUAUAGUUUAGCGGUAAAACAACUGUAUGUGGCAUAGUAUACCUGAGUUCAAAUCUCAGUAGUUAUC
This 72-nucleotide transfer RNA is filed under the name Insectozyma bohioensis. RNAcentral describes it as "Candida bohioensis tRNA-His". It matches the Rfam family "tRNA". From Rfam's summary of the family: Transfer RNA (tRNA) molecules are approximately 80 nucleotides in length. Their secondary structure includes four short double-helical elements and three loops (D, anti-codon, and T loops). Lineage: Eukaryota; Fungi; Ascomycota; Pichiomycetes; Serinales; Debaryomycetaceae. The record is from RNAcentral.